RNAcentral lists this ribosomal RNA (253 nucleotides) under uncultured bacterium. Its description in RNAcentral is "partial 16S ribosomal RNA". It matches the Rfam family "Bacterial small subunit ribosomal RNA", at positions 524 to 776 of the family's 1533-position model. The record is from RNAcentral.
UACGUAGGGUGCGAACGUUGUUCGGAAUCACUGGGCUUAAAGGGCGCGUAGGCGGGCUCGCCAGUCUGUGGUGAAAUCCUCCAGCCCAACUGGAGAAUGGCCAUGGAUACUGCGAGUCUCGAGGGAGGUAGGGGCGUGCGGAACAGAUGGUGGAGCGGUGAAAUGCGUUGAUAUCAUCUGGAACUCCGGUGGCGAAGGCGGCACGCUGGACCUCAUCUGACGCUGAGGCGCGAAAGCCAGGGGAGCAAACGGG